This 520-nucleotide ribosomal RNA is filed under the name uncultured Glomus. RNAcentral's name for it is "SSU rRNA". It matches the Rfam family "Eukaryotic small subunit ribosomal RNA", at positions 569 to 1091 of the family's 1831-position model. Lineage: Eukaryota; Fungi; Glomeromycota; Glomeromycetes; Glomerales; Glomeraceae. The record is from RNAcentral.
AGCAGCCGCGGUAAUUCCAGCUCCAAUAGCGUAUAUUAAAGUUGCUGCAGUUAAAAAGCUCGUAGUUGAAUUUCGGGACCAAUAUGUCGGUCGUGCCUCGGUACGUACUGGCAUCGUUGGUUUCUCCCUUCUGACGAACCAUGAUGUCAUUUAUUUGGUGUCGUGGGGAAUCAGGACUGUUACUUUGAAAAAAUUAGAGUGUUUAAAGCAGGCUCACGCUUGAAUACAUUAGCAUGGAAUAAUGAAAUAGGACGUUUGAUUCUAUUUUGUUGGUUUCUAGGAUCGACGUAAUGAUUAAUAGGGAUAGGUUGGGGGCAUUAGUAUUCAAUUGUCAGAGGUGAAAUUCUUGGAUUUAUUGAAGACUAACUACUGCGAAAGCAUUUGCCAAGGAUGUUUUCAUUAAUCAAGAACGAAAGUUAGGGGAUCGAAGACGAUCAGAUACCGUCGUAGUCUUAACCAUAAACUAUGCCGACUAGGGAUCGGAUGAUGUUAAUUUUUAAUGACUCAUUCGGCGCCUUAA